Molecule: non-coding RNA, 29 nt
Filed under: Rattus norvegicus (Norway rat)
Lineage: Eukaryota; Metazoa; Chordata; Mammalia; Rodentia; Muridae
Source: RNAcentral
CCCAUUGGUCUAUCUGUCUGUCUCUAUAC